Molecule: small nuclear RNA, 104 nt
Organism: Camelus dromedarius (Arabian camel)
Lineage: Eukaryota; Metazoa; Chordata; Mammalia; Artiodactyla; Camelidae
Source: Ensembl
GUGCUCACUUUGGCAGCACAUAUAUUAAAAUUGGAACAAUACAGAGAUUAGCAUGGUCCCUGCAUAGGGAUGACACACAUAUUCGUGAAGCGUUCCAUAUUUUC